Molecule: ribosomal RNA, 466 nt
Filed under: uncultured bacterium
Lineage: Bacteria
Description: partial 16S ribosomal RNA
Rfam family: Bacterial small subunit ribosomal RNA
Source: RNAcentral
GAUGAACACUGGCGGCGUGCUUAACACAUGCAAGUCGAACGAUGAAGCCCAGCUUGCUGGGUGGAUUAGUGGCGAACGGGUGAGUAACACGUGAGUAACCUGCCCUUAACUCUGGGAUAAGCCUGGGAAACUGGGUCUAAUACCGGAUAGGAGCGUCCACCGCAUGGUGGGUGUUGGAAAGAUUUAUCGGUUUUGGAUGGACUCGCGGCCUAUCAGCUUGUUGGUGAGGUAAUGGCUCACCAAGGCGACGACGGGUAGCCGGCCUGAGAGGGUGACCGGCCACACUGGGACUGAGACACGGCCCAGACUCCUACGGGAGGCAGCAGUGGGGAAUAUUGCACAAUGGGCGCAAGCCUGAUGCAGCGACGCCGCGUGAGGGAUGACGGCCUUCGGGUUGUAAACCUCUUUCAGUAGGGAAGAAGCGAAAGUGACGGUACCUGCAGAAGAAGCACCGGCUAACUACGUG